RNAcentral lists this long non-coding RNA (630 nucleotides) under Gallus gallus (chicken). The record is from RNAcentral. Lineage: Eukaryota; Metazoa; Chordata; Aves; Galliformes; Phasianidae.
GCGUUUCCAGAUUUGGAACUUGAGAAGCAAUAUCUAUGACUGUAUCCCAGUACGCCACCAGAUUUUUUGAUAGAUCUAUAUGUCUGAUAUUAGGACACGUUCCACUGAUUUCCUCUUUCUGACCAGCAUGGCUCACUGCGCAUUCAUGCACUGAGAUAUGUACCAGUCGGUGCAGUUGCCUUUGUUUUUUUUCAAUAGAAUCUCUGCCAACAAAUUCCACGGUCUUCUUUCCAAAUACACACGUAUUCUCUAUUCCAUUCUGAGCAUCUUGUUUUUCAUUCAAUCCAUACCGGCCCUUUACUGCAGUAAGAAAAUCUACCCCAAAGUUUGCUUUGUUUGGGCGGAUGAAUGAGCCUCCUCUGGGAUGCCUGCAUUUAAAAUACUGCUUUCCUUCAUAGGUACCAUCAUGUUUUCCUCUCUGAGGAUCAUCCCACUCCACUCCAAGCCAAACUCCCGCUGUAGGCGAGACGCUGCCGACGUACCGCACGGUGCCGUACUCUGUGCCACACAGCACUCUCCGGCCCAGCGCGUCAGCGGGCACCCCGGCGGCCAUCCCGGUCCUUACACACCCGCUCUAUUGGUGGCUGUGCGUGGAGAGCAUCCGCCGGCCGCCACAGCCCACAGCACGCC